RNAcentral lists this long non-coding RNA (6947 nucleotides) under Physcomitrium patens. RNAcentral describes it as "long non-coding RNA (PPAT_LNC004679)". The record is from RNAcentral. Lineage: Eukaryota; Viridiplantae; Streptophyta; Bryopsida; Funariales; Funariaceae.
CAAUUAUCCUCAUUCCAAUCAUUGGAAUUCUUCACACAGAACUGCCAUGCACAUUACGGUGUUUCACACAAACACAGACUGAUUCUCUCUGCUCAACUACAAUCAGAUUUCAGCAUUCAAUCUUUCUUCUUCUCAAAUAAUACCAAUCACAUUUCCAUUCCAUAAUUUACUUCACAAUAUUCAGAAACUCUCAAUCCUCUUAUUCAAAGAAAAUAACAAACAAAAGAAAAGAGGUAGCACCAAGCUUAUCCCGGCUCACAACUAUCACAGCAAUGGCCCUUGGCUCAUGACUAUCAUAGUCUCGCACCUUAAUUAACUUCUACAACUUCUAUAUACUUUCCCUUGAUUCUCCAAAUUUUAACCGUAAUUCUGUAAUUAAUCGCUUUUAAGAACUAAAUCACUCAUCUGUCCUCUUGAAUUUCCUAUUAUAUGGACUAUUAAUAUAUUUUAUCAAUAUCUUUCAAAAAUGAAUUAAUAUCUAUUCUACAUAGCCCCACUCCUAUCUGUGCAGCAUCCUCGCAAACACUUAAUUGAUACCUAUCUAAAAAUUAUCUAACAAAAUUCUACAGAAAUUGCGAUCCCUCUAGCCUAUCUAAUUAAUCAAUUACUGUAGUAUCUGUUAUUGGUUCCACCAAUUCCGGUUCCAACUGUAACUCCUCUUCUUCUUCUUCCAGUCCAUCGACUCUUUCUUCAACUGGUUUGAUAGAUCUUUAUUAUACUCACCCAGUACAUGGACUUGAGCUUCCAAUUUUAAGAUCUGGACAUCCCAAAGUUCUAAUUUUUGUUGCUGCUCAUCUAUUCUGAAACAUCUUCAAUGGAUACUUGUGAUCGGUUCCUCACUGUUAGCUCUUAACUGGAACUACUACUCUCGAAAAUACAAGAAAUAUAAGAAAAUGGCACUCUAGUCAAUCCAAAACAACACCACAAAACGACUUUAACUGGUGCCCCACUCCUAUUCUUUUACUACUUGGUGAUAAUGACAACAUGUUAUCCAUACUGUCUGUGAAAGGUAAUUAGAAGUAAUCUUUCUUGAUGGCCACAUUAAGUUUUCGGAAAUCCUGAUAAAUUCGGAUUUUUUCAUUCUUUUUUGGCACCAUCACAAUUGGCGACACCCAUGUACUAUGCGGAACAUCAUAAAUAAAAUCCACGUCGAGAAGUUUAUCCAAUUCUUCUUUCACUAAAAAGAAAUAUUUUGGAUCAAACUGGUGUUGUCUUUGACAAACUGGCGUAACGUCCUCCUCCAAAAUAAUCUGGUGCUCACAUAUGUCAAUUGGAAUCCCUUUCAAAUCUGCAUACGACCACGCAAAGGCAGAUUUGUGAUGGAUGAAAAACUAUUUCCAAGCAUCCAAUUCCGUACCGAUAAUACUGGCAUAUAUUUUAAUUAGCUGUGGCAUUUCGUUGGUGCCCAAGUUAAUGGAUUGACACACAGGGUCUUCAACAACCUCUGAUUUAAUUGUCUUCUCCUGAUCUGAAUAUCUUGUAUUAUCCGACAUAUAAGAACCAUCCAAAUCUGAUUCCAAUGUGUUGACUCUAUUGACUACAAAAUUAUUCAUCUAUUUGGUAAUAGCAUGAUCCGAGUUAGUCGCAUCCUCUUGAUGCAGUAAAUAUUCACCGAGACCUCCACAUUGGUAGACUCUUGCCUUUACUGUUGAAGUAUUUUUUCCUACCCCAAAUUGUGGUGAACCUAUAGCAUCGUCAUCUGCCUCAAUCGAUUGACUCUCGUUGUCCAAUAUAAAUUCUGAUUCUGGCAAUUGAGAUUAUCCAUGAUAUUAUACUGGAUACAUCUGUAAAACAAUCUGGUCAUGGCCUUUUCCAAUUGUCAAUGUACCUCGACUCCAAUCGUUCUUAGCUUUGGCUUGAUAAAGCCAAGCUCUGUCCAAUAAAAUGGGAUACGAUAACAUAGAACUCUGUAAUCAGAAUACAAUAUAAUCAAUUUUGUAUGUCAAUCCCACAAUUACAGUAGCAAUAUUUCGUAAAAUUCCCAUUGGCUUUAUCCGACUAUGAUCAGCCAUUCGCAAGGCCAAUGUUGUUGGUAGCAAUUGCUUUAGAUGCAAGUCCUCUAUUAUAUCCGCAUUCAUUAAAUUCACACAGGAGCCACCAUCAAGUUGUACCCUUGGAAUUCAAAUACCAUCGAUUGAUACAUCGAUUGUUGGUGCUCCCGGAUCUAGGUUUAAGCUAACUUCAUGAAUUUCUUUAGUGUGGGAUCUUCAUCGUGUUAGCGCUGAAUUCAAUGUAAAUCGAUAUUUAGGUGCUAUAGCCAAAAGUUGCUUCAUUAUAAUUGAAGGCUUAAUAACAUCCAAAUCCUUCAGAAUGUCGUAGGGUUCCAUAUUGAGAGUAAUUCCUAAUGCUCUUUUGCGUUUCAUUGAUUUGAGUUUAAAUCCGUGAUGUAAAAUAGUCUUCCGCCCUGGACUCAAAAUUGGAACAGCAGCAAGAACUUCCUUGGAAUUCUUACCCUCGAGAGGAUCUUUCAAUGGAUAGGAUGUUUCUCAAAACUACGUAGAGAUUGGAACUGCUUGGAACGAAAUCAAAGCCUCUAUAAUUGGAACCUCAUUGGGUUGUACCACUGAGUCAGGUCUCAUACUGGGUACGAAGCCCAUAAUAGGACCUGGAUUGAAUGGUCCACGCAAAUUGGUACGUGGAACCAAAUUAGGUUCCUUAGUCUCUUGAGGUCUCAAUAUUGAGAUACGUCCCAAUACUGAUAUUGGUUCAUUUAGCCCUAUGGACGACACUACUUGCUCUCCUGUGAUUGGUUCAUCCAUGUCUUGAAUUACAUUCUUAUCUUUUUGUUGGCCUCUGGUAAGCACUGCGUUCACUACCUCGAUACGAUGUACUGGUGCGUCUCAUUGAACAGGGCCUUUGUCCUCCGCCAGUUGGCUUAUUUGCAUUUGCUGGUCCCAAUUAUUAUAAUUAAAGGGCGCAUUACACUGCUGAUAAGUGUGACCAGACUGCUUACAAUUUCCACAUAUUGGAGUAUAGUCAUCACUGGCUCUGGGAUUGCGACAUUUGUUGGCAUAAUGACCAAUCUGUUUGCAACAAAAACAACGAAGUGGUCUCCUGCCAACUCCUUCAAGGAUAUUAGGUGUCUCUAUUGGUAUAUAACAGCUAGGUCUGUUCCAUGUCGGAUGAGUAAAGGAUCCUGGUUGAUCCAUUGUUACUGUAGAGUCUAGCAUUGGCUUCAUCAUGGGUGGAUAUUGAUGGUAUCUUGGUUGGUUCAUCACCAAUCCGUAAGUAUUAGAUACACCUUUUUGGUGAAAUUAAGAGUUUAAAAAAUUUGAAUAAUUCUUGUUUUGUUUAUUCGCUCGAUUUCCAUUCUAGCCAAACCUAUUAUUCAUCUGUACUUAAUUGACAUCCUACGAAGUUGGUUGAGUCAUAAUCUGGUUACUGAGUUGUUUUUGCUUCCAUAAAUUCCAAUAGUUGGUGAUAAUAUGCUUGCCCCCACAAAAGGUACAUUGUAUAGUCAUUUGGAGUAGUGAAGGACAUUUUGUUACUAAAUGACCUUGUCGCUUACAAUUGCUGCACCAGACAUUGGGACACAUAUUGGUUGGUUUAUACUUUUUUUCUUUAUCCUUGGCCAGAUUCACAGCCAAUUCAUCCAUUUUUUUUGUCAAUGUUAACAGCAAUGACUCAUUGGAAUCUCUUGAUACUAAUGCCUUUGGCAAUUCCUUCGUAGGUAUUAGUUUUUGAUGCACUGAAUAAGGUACAUACGGAUGUGAUGAUGAUGGUGGUACAGCUUGCAAUGGAACGGCAUCCACUAUUCCCUAUGGAUUUGUACCAUAAUCAUUCCUUCUCAGAUAACCUUCCCAUGCGUUGUCGGGGUAGAGAGGUUUUGCCUCAAGAAAGCACUGAGCUUCUGGCUAUCACUAAUUGCUCAAUCAAGCUUAAAAUAAGGAAAACCUAAUUUUAUAUAUAUAAGUUCUCCUUUUGGGACAAUUACACCAAAUACUUAAGUCUUAAAUAACCAACAAUACCCAAAAUAUGGUAGAAGUACUCUAAAACCUUGUAUUUCCUUGUGUGGAAAUUCUCCCAAACCUCAAUACCUCAUAACUCUUGAUCCAACCGUCUAAACAAGAUCAAAAUGUACAUAAAGUACUGAUAUGUUGUUAUUAAUUUGUACAACAAAUUUCAAUCGCAAAUUCGUUGUGAAUCUUGAGAUAUCUUCAAAACCCUAACAGUCGCUAUAAACCCUAAUUUUUAUAUAUCCAUGCACAAUUUUCUUUAUAUCUCACAAACCAUAAGUUCAAAUGCCACAAAACUUGUAUAGAUACAUUUUCAACACAAAUUUUUACAUUCUAUCAAAGUUUGAGCCAAAAUUUCGUUCGAAAAUUCAAGUUAUGGCUCCUAACACUACUUUGAACAAAACCGCUCACUUACUGCCUUUGAUUUGAAUGCGCUGUCUUUAACUCCCUAUAACUCCUUCAUAUAAACUCCAAAUGCAAAAUUUCCUUCGCAAAAGAUGUAUGAAUUGAAGUUGCCCUUCCAGCCGCACCUUCCGAUCUCCAAAAGCUUCCGUAACACUCCUCUUAAACUCAAAAGAGUAACAGUAGGUCUCAAAUUGACAUCUUAACUUCAAACGGCUAUAACUUAUUCACCCUAACUCCAAAUCCUAUAAAAUUUGUACAAAAAUUGUAGCCAAAACCCUAACUUUACAACCCUUGCCUUUGAUUUCCUAAUGGCCUCUUUGAAGUCGCCGAAACCCUUAUUAAGGUCGCGGGCAGCCUCCUAAAAGCCCAUUGGGCAUGGAUUUCGACCAAUGGGGAUGAAGAUCCUUAUUUCUACCUUCAUCCAACCAUGCCUUGGUUUCAUCCCUCUCAAUUAACCUCCUAUUAGUUUAAAUCUUCAUCUUUAGGCCCCUAUCUCCUCUCAAGGCUUUAUACUUAACAUUAAGGUUCUAUAACUUUUAUAUACUAUAAUCAAAUUAAGUAAGGAAAAUAAAAUAAAGUUUUCUCUACCAACUCUUUUUAAUUUAAUCUAUUAUCCACUCUAACAUACAUUUAGAUUUAUUAACAUUUAAUGUGUUCUAACUAAUUUUUACAUACUAUAAGCAUUUAUACUACGAUAACGUCAUUCCAAUUUGUUAUUUGAUAACCUCCUUGAGAUGGAAUCAUCGUGGCUCCAAUUGUUAAGUUUUGGUCAUAGUGAUAUUCUUCCCACACUUUUGGUUACUCAAAAGAUGAUGCAAUGGUGGCUGAUUGGGCCUCCUUUACAAACAUCUUCAAUUCUGGUAGGUGUAGUCCAUUAAUCAAUAUGGACAACACAAACGAUUCCGGCAUUUGGUUAUUUGUCCAUUUUCAAAGUAUAUUUGCUACACGACCAUAAUAUGACUAUACUGCUUCCCCUGGUACCAUUCUGCUAUUUAUUAAUUUUUCUCUAAGACGUUCUUCAAAACCAAUUGGUCGAAAAUGGGCUAAAAAUGUAUUUUUCAAUGCCUCCCAAUUGAUAAAUUGUUCCACAAGUUGGCGGUUAUACCACUCAAACACUAUGUCUUUCAAUGUCGCUGGUAGCCAUCUCAAUCAAAUGUCUUCUAUUCUUCCAUUAUUAGCUACACAUGUUGUAAGAAACUGAGAAAAAUGUUGAUCGGGAUCCGCAUCCAAAAAUCCCCAAAAAAUAGGUAGUGACUUGAUACUAGUCGUUCGAUUGUCCACUACAUCCAUUUGUACUGCAAUCGGAAUGAUUGGUCCUGUAGACGUCAUUAAAGAUGCCGGUGUUCCGCUUAAUUCCUUAUUAAAAUAAAAACUAUCUUCCGUAAAAGUCUUUUUCGGACUUCCAGGCCUUCCCGAUUGACUAUUAUUAUCUCCAAAUAAUUUUACUGGUUGAAUAUGAGGUGAAUACAACAGGUUUUGAUAUACUCUAAAUUGGUCUUUAUUAGCAAGUGAUUUAUUUCGAUCUUUAGAACCACUCUUGUUAGGAUCAGACGUAUUUCUAAUUGAGAAAAUACCCAGUGGGGUACCUAAUUCCUCUGUGCCUUCCUCGUUUUCCAUUAACGACUUUGAGAGGUAUGCUGGACUAUUAGCAGCACUCCUUGCGAGUGUUCUUGGCAAUUUCUUUAACGGUAUGUACUUCUGAAAUAUUAGAGGUCGAUCGCCUUUUGGAUAUGAUUGAAUAUACCGACAGACAGGCAACCACGGCGUAAUCCAUUUUUAUCAAUGCUUCUUUUUCAAUUCACGAUCUUGCUCAUUAUGCAAUAAAUUUCUCGCUUUCAAUCACUCUAUUCUUUUCUUUGAUUGCUUUAUUCUCUUUGUUGUUAAAUUCUCAUUCUUAAUAACCAUACUCUUUCAUUAUUUCUACUAAGUUUACUUCUUAAUCUCCUUUACUGCUUCGAUAGUUAAUUCCUAACAUUCAAUAAUGUUGUCAAUACCCAACAGCGGCGCCAAAAUGUGAUUGCUCGUUUUGCUUAUUCUGGAAGAAACCUCCAAGAAUAAAUCUGUAUAGGGAGAUUCGAAUAUGGGGAAUGACUAGUUGCUUAAGCGUUUACGUCAGGGUCAUACAAUCAAUUACUUCCUGAAUAUAUCGUCUCUAUUUCCAAUAUCUAAAUACACAAGGAAACUAUAAUCUUCUCCUUCACCUUAUCAGUCUCUUCCUUACAGCAAUUCAGUCAUACCAAUAACUGCUAUUUCUACCAAUAUAUUCACCCUCAUAAUCUCCAACUGUAAUACUGUGCCCUCACAGCUUUCAGUACAUAAUUAUCUUCAUUCCAAUCAUUGGAAUUCUUCACACAGAACUGCCAUGCACAUUACGGUGUUUCACACAAAGACAAACUGAUUCUCUCUGCUCAAUUACAAUCAGAUUUUAGCAUUCAAUCUUUCUUCUUCUCAAAUAAUACCAAUCACAUUUCCAUUCCAUAAUUUACUUCACAAUAUUCAAAAACUCUCAAUCCUCUUAUUCAAAGAAAAUAACAAACAAAAGAAAAGAGGUAGCACCAAGCUUAUCCCGACUCACAACUAUCACAG